GCGAACGCUGGCGGCAGGCUUAACACAUGCAAGUCGAGCGCCCCGCAAGGGGAGCGGCAGACGGGAGAGUAACACGUGGGAACGUGCCCUUUGGUUCGGAACAACCCAGGGAAACUUGGGCUAAUACCGGAUACGUCCGUAAGGAGAAAGAUUUAUCGCCAAAGGAUCGGCCCGCGUCUGAUUAGCUUGUUGGUGAGGUAAUGGCUCACCAAGGCUACGAUCAGUAGCUGGUCUGAGAGGAUGAUCAGCCUCACUGGGACUGAGACACGGCCCAGACUCCUACGGGAGGCAGCAGUGGGGAAUAUUGGACAAUGGGCGCAAGCCUGAUCCAGCCAUGCCGCGUGGAUGAUGAAGGCCCUAGGGUUGUAAAGUCCUUUCGGCGGGGAAGAUAAUGACGGUACCCGCAGAAGAAGCCCCGGCUAACUUCGU
This 429-nucleotide ribosomal RNA is filed under the name uncultured bacterium. RNAcentral describes it as "bacterial SSU rRNA". It matches the Rfam family "Bacterial small subunit ribosomal RNA", at positions 29 to 506 of the family's 1533-position model. The record is from RNAcentral.